UCACCCUCCUUUUCUGGACAGUGGUCUGUGGAUCCUUAACAGGAACCAGCAGUCAGGUGACUGUGACUCAGACACCAGUAGUGUCCUUUAAUCCAGGAUCCACAGUCACUCUGACCUGUAAAACAAACCCAGCGGUUCACAGAUGGAGUGAUGGAGAUGAGGGUAUGUUCUGGUAUCAACAGAAACCUGGAGAAGCCCCCAAGCUCUUCAUAAAAUAUGCAAA
This is a long non-coding RNA of Gadus morhua (Atlantic cod), 223 nucleotides long. RefSeq lists it as uncharacterized. The transcript has 2 exons. The record is from RefSeq and is a predicted model, not a curated record. NCBI's taxonomy places the organism in Eukaryota, Metazoa, Chordata, Actinopteri, Gadiformes, Gadidae.